AUGCCCUUCAUAUUCGGGGCCCUCGCCCUCGCCCUGGUGUUCGAGGCGGUCGCCCUGUUCUGCCAGUGGGCCCUGGUGGUGUCGGGGGCCAUCGAGCUGGUCAUUGUCACCUGCGGGUUGUACGGGGCGGUGGCUCUGCUCCUCAAGGGCAUCACGCAGCGCUACGUCCUUCCAGGCUUUGGGCAUCCCCUCUUCAAUGUCCUGCUCUUGGGGUCAGCACAGAAAAGCUCCUCCAAGGCCAUCGGGGAGGAAAAGAAAAAGAACACAAAGUAUGCCGAGCCGAUGGCCCUGGGCAACAUCUGCGACACGGUGUCGCCCUUUAUCUUCGCCUUUUACUUCUUUGGCUACGUGAAGACCUUCUGUGUCGGGGCGGUGUGGAUCUCCAUCAUCUCCAGCUGCCAGCUGCUCUCCAGCUUCUACAGCUACCUCCGAGGUGACGCCUACCACACAACCAAGUUUGGUGUCCACAGCCUCUACUGGCUGGUGAUGUCUUGGGAAGAGUUCAUCCUCACCGCCUUCCUUGGGCUGCCCCGGGCUCAGGAGAGCAGGCUGGGAAUGUUUGGAGGGUGGUUCUUCCUGGCCACCGCCUGCACGCUGUUCCUGAUGUCCACCCACAAAGACACCCUGGAGACGCUGCAAAACGCCUCCUUCGUCAUCCUCACCACGGCCUUCAUCCAUCAGAUCCCGCUGCCCGGCGCUCAGCCCCUCCUGGGCACCGCCUGCAGCCUCUGCACGGCCCUGUCCCUGUACGCCACCUUCGCCAGCCUCAUCAACUCCAUCGGGGAGAAGGCCCUGAUCCCGGUGGGCGCCCAGGCCGUGUCCAGCUCGGCUCUCCAAACCGCGCUGGUGGCCCUCAAAGCCCUCCUCACGAGCACCAAGGAGCUCCCCGGCGGCACCGGCGCCGCCGUGCCCGACGCCUUGUUCUACAUCUGCAACGGCCUGGCCGCGGCCUCUGCCAUCCAGGGCGGCCUGGGGGACCCCGGCAGGCAGCAGCUCUCCAUCCCCUCCGUGCUCAUCCCGGGGGCCGUGGGGCAGCUCUACGUGUGCAGGAUCCAGGCCUGGGGAGGGAGGAGGUUUGGCUCCGUCCUCCCGUUCUGCUACGCUGCCUUCUGGGCGGCCUGGGCGUGGCUGCGCCUGGCAGGUAACGCGUGGGCCGGGCGCCCGGGUGGCUCGGUCGCUACAAAAGGGGAUGCUUUUAGGGAAUUCAGAUUGCUUGAUUCCACGUAG
RNAcentral lists this long non-coding RNA (1227 nucleotides) under Manacus vitellinus (golden-collared manakin). RNAcentral's name for it is "lncRNA (ENSMVIG00005011118.1)". Lineage: Eukaryota; Metazoa; Chordata; Aves; Passeriformes; Pipridae. The record is from RNAcentral.